AUGCCACCGGAAUACUUAUUUGGAAAUUUAGUCUCAAAUAAGUUAGACAUAUUCAGCUUGGGUGUUGCAAUGACCAAGAUAAUUGCAGGGCAUAAUGGCCAUGAUGAGCUUCUUGAUCAAGUACAAGGAAAUUGGAGAAAAAGGUUACAGACAACAUGGAGUUCUCCUGAGCCACUAGAAGCACAAUGUCAACAAGUGAAAAGAUGUAGUGAGAUUGCACUGAGCUGUAUGGAGACGGAUAGGCACAAAAGGCCAAGUAUAGUGGACAUCAUACAUGAACUUAACCAGACUGAAAAAAUUAUGGAGAAGGUUACUUCUUACUAUGAACAAGAACUGUCACCACCACCUUCCAAUUCAAAUGUUGUUUAA
This 369-nucleotide ribosomal RNA is filed under the name Triticum aestivum (bread wheat). Its description in RNAcentral is "partial small subunit ribosomal RNA". Lineage: Eukaryota; Viridiplantae; Streptophyta; Magnoliopsida; Poales; Poaceae. The record is from RNAcentral.